Molecule: ribosomal RNA, 253 nt
Filed under: uncultured bacterium
Lineage: Bacteria
Description: partial 16S ribosomal RNA
Rfam family: Bacterial small subunit ribosomal RNA
Source: RNAcentral
AGCGAACCUGCGAAGGCAAGCGGAUCUCUUAAAGCCGUUCUCAGUUCGGACUGUAGGCUGCAACUCGCCUACACGAAGCUGGAAUCGCUAGUAAUCGCGGAUCAGCACGCCGCGGUGAAUACGUUCCCGGGCCUUGUACACACCGCCCGUCACACCAUGGGAGCCGACAACGCCCGAAGUCAGUGACCUAACCGAGAGGGAGGAGCUGCCGAAGGCGGGGUUGGUAACUGGGGUGAAGUCGUAACAAGGUAGC